AAUGUAUGACGCCGUUGACUCUUUGUACAACGUUUGACCAUUCGUCUUAUUCAAAAAAUUUAUAUAAUUAUCAUUCAUUUUAUUGUGCCUUAAUUCAUCAUCAAAUGUUCUUUAAGCAUGAUAUAAAUAUUUUCAUAUUUGCACAAAAUUUUUGAAUAAAACGAAUGGUUAAAUGUUGGCUAAAAAGUCAAUGGCGUCAUACAUU
This 205-nucleotide microRNA precursor is filed under the name Oryza rufipogon (brownbeard rice). RNAcentral's name for it is "MIR812 microRNA precursor family". It matches the Rfam family "MIR812 microRNA precursor family". The record is from Rfam by way of RNAcentral. Lineage: Eukaryota; Viridiplantae; Streptophyta; Magnoliopsida; Poales; Poaceae.